UAAACUAAUUUUGUUUACUUUUGAAGAUAGUUUGUUUACUACUUCUCAUUAUAUUAAGUAUAAUUUGAAGCAAUGUUUUGUUUACUUUUGAAUUUGAUUGUGAGUUGAUAGUCAGAUUUGGUUCUGGAAUUAGCUGAUUUAGAAGUUGUUGUAAAGAAUAUUUGUUGGUGUUGUUCAGUUAAGGUAAGUUGGUGGGAGUUAUUCUGCUAUAAUUUUGUUGCACUUGGUGAUUAUCUAACUCAAAAGUAAAGCAAAAACUGAAAAAAGUAAAUAGAAAUGAUCUAAAAGUAAACAAAAUAGGGCCAGGUUCUGGUUCGUAUGUAUUGUAGGUCAUGUAAGUGUGGUGCUGGAGUUCCUGAGGAUGCAUCAGGAAAUGAAUGUGUGACUACUCCUUACCAAGGACUAGGGUAGGUUUAAUCGGAUUCCGGUACACAUAUCUUUGGGCAUAUCGUUAAAUGUAUUACGGAGUACUUAGUCCUUUUUGUGUUUCUGAGAUGGAACCAGAUGAUAAGAAAGAUUGGUGAUGUUUUAUCAAUAUAAUCUGUAAACAAAUGAGAAUUUUUAUGGUAUAGAUAUACAGAUUUCCAGCAAAUGGAUGUCAACUGCAAGGAACUGAGCUGAAUAUUGGAUCCUCUGUAGGGUUGUAGGCUUGUAGCCAAAGCUGCUUUAUUAGUCAUACAAAAGUAAUGCACCUGGUUUGAUUUAGUUAUAUAUAUAUAUAUAUAUAUAUAUAUAUAUAUAUAUAUAUAUAUAUAUAUAUAUAAAUAUAUGAGUACAGUGAUGGGGCAGUUUACUUGUGUUUUACUGUCAGCUUAUUGUUCGAGUUAACCCUGACAACCUGUUGAUCAUCAGUACCCUCUUCAUCAUGGCUGUGUUGUUAUUCCAACUGUUGGAAAUUUCCACUUGUUGAUCUUCUUGAGAAGUUAUCACUCUCCUGAUCUCUAUUAUGCCACUGCUGAAGUACUUAUCAGCAAUAAAGACAUUGAUCUCUCCAUCCUCUGCCUUCUUCACAAGAGUCUACGGAACAGAUUAGGACUUCCCCACAAGAGUCUUGCAUUUGUUUUCUGAAUGCUUGUUAACGCCUAUUAGCUCAAAUGGUAUAUCAAUGUGCCAAUGCACAUAAGUGUAGGUUCAAAUCCUACAUAGGCUAGAAUAUAUACAAGGACUUUUAUAUUUUACUUGCAAAUAAGGGGGAAAAGAUAACAGUAGAUAAAAAAAUUCUAAAAGUAAAUUAAAACAAAUCAAAAGUAAACAUAUAUUUGAAUUAUAUUAAUAUAUUUACUAGCUUGAAUACUGAACAUUGGGCUUUUUGAUGUUUAUUGCCUUUUUGGUUAGCUUGAAUCCAAUUUAUAAAUGUUAGAUGUUGGACCAGUUUGGUGUGUUGGUCUGGUAUGAGCCUGCAAACAGUCAUGUGUUCAUGGCUGGUUGUUCGAGCCUGCAUUCAGUCUUUUUGGAGGUCUGAUUCAUUGAGGCGGGCAGUGAUGCUCGUUUACUAAGUCAGGGGGCGGGUUUGCAGUUGGUUUCUGCAAGUGCAAUAAUGCACCAUGCUUCUUCUGUUUGCUGGCUAUUGGUUUUAGUAUGCCAGUUAGCAAUUCAAAAAAUAAGGGUAAACUAUUAUUUUCUCUAAUUUUAAAAGUGGAUCAAAACUUUGUAAAAGUAAAUUAAUAGGGUCAAAAGUAAAUUCAUUUGUAGAGCUUGAUAUGAACUCUUACGAGCCUUUUCCAUAAAUAAGGUGCCCCAAUAACAUUCCUUUACCAUACCUCAUCUGUGUUGCUGUCUACCCCAAAAAAAUAGAAGUAAUCGAAUAAGAAAGCAUCAUAUGAGGUCAACGGUCAAAGUAAAGGUCUUUAAAGUAAAAGUAAAUAAAUUUAUACAAAAAGUAAAUAAAUAAAUACAAAAAGUAAAGAUGAAGCUACGUGGAAUUUGAACUCGUAUCUUUUGCACAAAGCACUACCCAUUGAGCUAACAGGCUAGUGUUAUUUUAAGAUAGAGUUAAAGUAACAAGAAUACAAUAUAUUUUACCUUAUUUUCAAACUAAAGUAGAUAAAGAACCCGUAAUAGUAAAUAGAAUCAAUUCAAAAGUAAAUAUCAUCAAAUAGACAAUAACACAGACAUAGUACCUUUGUCAUUUCACUAAACAACACCUAUCCCAACUCCAAAAGAACCCAACAGCCCUUUAACUAGCUUCGAGGAGAAUGAAAUAUUCUGAAGUAAUUCGGAAAAUCUAAGAAAAUAAUAUAAACUUAAAAGUAAACAAUAUAGAAUCAAAAGUAAAUAAAGGAAACUCAAAAGUAAACGAGCCCUACGUGGGAUUCGAACACACAUCUUUUGUGCUUUUGCACAAUGCUCUACCAAUUGAGCUAGUAGGCUAGUGUUUUUAAAUAAACUAAAUAAAAGUAAAGCAAAAAAAAACACCAUGAUUUCCUCCAAUGCCUAUCUAUCUUAAAGUAGACUAAUUCUCUAUAAAACUAAACUAAAUUUCUGCAAAUGUAAACUAAAUCCUUUAAGGUGUCGUGGCUGAUUUUUUAGAACAAGCAAUUAUGUGAAGGAGGAUACUAGAAUCAAAAAGGUAUUGGAAUGAGUCGGAAUCCAAAUUGUGCAUGUGAGUGGAAAUGAAAAAACAGGGGGAAAAGGAAAUAGAAAGGAUCCCGGAAGAAUUAUGGUUUUGAAAUUUACUUGUGUUUUUGAAAGAAGAACUUGAUUUCUGAUUAGGAUAGAAGUUGCAAACAAUUUCCACCUGCAAAAAUUUGCAACAACAGAGUAAAUGAUUCCAACA
This is a long non-coding RNA of Spinacia oleracea (spinach), 2776 nucleotides long. RefSeq lists it as uncharacterized. NCBI's taxonomy places the organism in Eukaryota, Viridiplantae, Streptophyta, Magnoliopsida, Caryophyllales, Amaranthaceae. The record is from RefSeq and is a predicted model, not a curated record. The transcript is spliced from 2 exons.